This is an RNA transcript of Leptopilina heterotoma, 1958 nucleotides long. RefSeq lists it as uncharacterized. Lineage: Eukaryota; Metazoa; Arthropoda; Insecta; Hymenoptera; Figitidae. The transcript has 5 exons. The record is from RefSeq and is a predicted model, not a curated record.
AGUAAAGUAUGGUUGUGAACGUUUAAUUUUAAAGUAAUUAUUGCGCAUGAGUGACAAUGUAUAAAGGGGGGUCAUCACCAGUAAUAAGACGGGGGGACAGUCUGUAACUUACCGCGAAUAAAUUAAGACGUUGCUCUACGACUAAUAAAUUAUAUCUUUAUAUUAAUAACUAAUCUGUUUUAUUCUAUCAUUUCCUGACAAAAACAUUACUACACAACACUCAAUUAAAUAAACGACUUUUUCGACUGCUUUUUGUAUUUUUAAUCGACUAAUCGACUUUUUUUGUGUUUUAAAGUGGAUCCUAGGCCUUCAAGUCGUAAAAUUAUUAUACUUUUGCAGUCUAUCAACUCUAACAAUUUUGAAUCUAUUUUUUUCUGUACUUUGUAGGUUUAGAAAUUUGAGAAAUAUAGAGAAAGAAGGAAAGAAGGAAGGAGGGAGGGAGGGAGGGAGAAGCUGAGUGAAAAAAGGUGAAAUUAUAUAGACAAUUUGGAGGUUGUUAAAAUUUGAAGAGGUGGUCGUUUUCGUCACGCCUUUUAUACUAGAGGCUAUGAGUUUUUGUGAAUAUUGUAUUGGAAGGGCCUUAUUAUUACUUACUUUAGUUUGUGAAGAGCGCUUUAUUCCCCAUGGGUCAUGGAAUAAUUGUGCGUUAGUGGGUCCCUGUCAUUCUCAAGUGCCUGUGGGCAAUGGAGCCUGGGAUGCUGGAGUCGAGUGUUGGUGGUAAAACGGCAAACUUUAUAAAAUGUAAACGGAGAACACAGGUGCAUAGAAGUGAAGUGGAACCCCCCUGGUUUUGAAAACGGUUGACUUGCCAUAGUCAAUAGUGUCCACUCAAUCCACUUCAAGUGGAUUCUCUCUCUCUCAUUCUCUCCCUGUGUUACCGAUACUCCAAAACACCUCGAGCAUCCAUUGUUCUCUGUAAAAGAUAUACUUCCCGGAAAUUGUGAUACCUGGGCCCCUCUAAUUAUCCGUCUCUCGAUGGUUUAAAGUCCGGAGCCAGUCACAGUGGAUGUUGACGUCGCGACUUGUUCUCGAGAUAAAAAUUAGUCAAGGGAUGAAUACUUGUUUCUUUCAUUGUCUGUGGAGAUAGUUGAUCCAGGAGAGGUAACUGUCAGGCAGAAAUUGUAAUGAACCCAUCAUCGACAAUGGUAAACGAUUCAUCAAAUCGAAUAGCGAGUGUCUGACAGCUCAUAAAAUGUUGAAUCGUUUUCACGAUGUUACUAUAUAACGUGCAAGCUUAACGUAUUACAGAGUCGUUCUCAAGGAUGUUAAAUAAUCGCAACCAAUUACCUUCACCUAGAACUAGAACUUGUUUCGGAUAUACACUUGAUGUCAUUUGAAGAUCCGCACGUGGGUGCAAGAUAACUAAAAUAGAGAGGAGAGCGCCUUCCUCCCUGGUAAAUUGGAUUAGUUAAUAAACGAGAGUUCGGAGGGUAAGAGCAAAAUUAUAGUAUUGAAUUUGAAAUGAUUCAAAAGGUUAAUGCUGAAGAGACAUUCAUUCAUUAAGUUCAAUUGGCGCCAGGAAUAUCGUUUACGAUCUCAUUUGUAGAUAUUUGUUACUCUUCUUCAUUGAAUUUAAUCUCAAAUAACCAUAAAUUACGAGUGUUUGUUCUGUGAUUGGCUUUCAUCUUCGAUACAUUAUGAUUCACUUGCCGCUACUCGCAAAGAAUUUUUUGAGAAAAAUUAUUUUCUUUCGCGUGCGACUUUAUUUUAUUUACUUUUUUUUAUUCAAGACUUCAAUUUUAAUACGAAUUAAUUCAAUUUAACAAAAAUAACAAGAAAUAACAAAUAAAAUAACAAGAAUUAUUCAACUACAAGUUGUCUAAACUCGAAAAAAUUUGAUGAAAAUUUAUUCCCGCGUGGGAUCGAACCCCGAACGGAUAAUCAAAGCUGGCUUGCAAAGCGCUUUAACGUCUUCGGCUAACAUGAACUUGGUAAAUUCUUUUUCAAUAUAAUUGAAA